CUCUACGGCCAUACCACCCUGAACGCGCCCGAUCUUGUCUGAUCUCGGAAGCUAAGCAGGGUCAGGCCUGGUUAGUACUUGGAUGGAGAAAUUAUAUUCACCUGAGGUGCAUGGUCCCUUAAAUA
Pan paniscus (pygmy chimpanzee) is the source of this 125-nucleotide ribosomal RNA. NCBI's taxonomy places the organism in Eukaryota, Metazoa, Chordata, Mammalia, Primates, Hominidae. The record is from Ensembl.